CAUGAAUGCCCUUCUGAGUGUUUCAUUUCAUCAGUCACAGAUAAAUACGCUCCUGGAUUAUACUGUUAAGAUCAAAAUCCAAAAAUGAAGGCACAGUGGUGAGAGGUGGCAUGUUGAUGCACACACGAGUUGCAGGUCCAGGAUGAUGGUUGAUUUGAUGGUGUG
Molecule: long non-coding RNA, 165 nt
Organism: Ipomoea nil (Japanese morning glory)
Lineage: Eukaryota; Viridiplantae; Streptophyta; Magnoliopsida; Solanales; Convolvulaceae
Exons: 2
Source: RefSeq, a predicted model, not a curated record